GGACUACCCGGGUAUCUAAUCCCGUUCGCUCCCCUGGCUUUCGCGCCUCAGCGUCAGGUAAGGCCCAAGAAGCCGCCUUCGCCACCGGUGUUCCGACUGAUAUCUACGCAUUUCACCGCUACACCAGCCAUUCCACUUCUCCCUACCUCCCUCAAGACAGCCAGUAUGAGGAGCACUCCUGAAGUUGAGCCCCAGGAUUUCACUUCUCACUUAACCACCCGCCUACGCGCGCUUUACGCCCAGUAACUUCGGACAACGCUCGCCCCCUACGUAUUACCGCGGCGGCUGGCAC
This 292-nucleotide ribosomal RNA is filed under the name uncultured bacterium. RNAcentral's name for it is "partial 16S ribosomal RNA". The record is from RNAcentral.